UACAGGGGGUGCAAACGUUGCUCGGAAUCAUUGGGCGUAAAGCGCACGUAGGCGGUUCGUUAUGUCGGAUGUGAAAGCCCUUGGCUUAACCGAGGAAGUGCAUCCGAAACUGGCGAGCUAGAGUACGAAAGAGGAUCGCGGAAUUCCCGGUGUAGAGGUGAAAUGCGUAGAUAUCUGGAGGAACACCGGUGGCGAAGGCGGCAUCCUGGACCGACACUGACACUGAGGAGCGAAAGCCAGGGGAGCAAACGGG
This 253-nucleotide ribosomal RNA is filed under the name uncultured bacterium. Its description in RNAcentral is "partial 16S ribosomal RNA". It matches the Rfam family "Bacterial small subunit ribosomal RNA", at positions 524 to 776 of the family's 1533-position model. The record is from RNAcentral.